CCUACGGGCGGCUGCAGUGGGGAAUAUUGGACAAUGGGGGCAACCCUGAUCCAGCCAUGCCGCGUGUGUGAAGAAGGCCCUCGGGUUGUAAAGCACUUUCAGUGAGGAAGAACGCCUGGUGGUUAAUACCCAUCAGGAAAGACAUCACUCACAGAAGAAGCACCGGCUAACUCCGUGCCAGCAGCCGCGGUAAUACGGCGGGUGCGAGCGUUAAUCGGAAUUACUGGGCGUAAAGCGCGCGUAGGUGGCUUGAUAAGCCGGUUGUGAAAGCCCCGGGCUCAACCUGGGAACGGCAUCCGGAACUGUCAAGCUAGAGUGCAGGAGAGGAAGGUAGAAUUCCCGGUGUAGCGGUGAAAUGCGUAGAGAUCGGGAGGAAUACCAGUGGCGAAGGCGGCCUUCUGGACUGACACUGACACUGAGGUGCGAAAGCGUGGGUAGCAAACAGGAUUAGAUACCCCAGUAGUC
This 465-nucleotide ribosomal RNA is filed under the name Vreelandella stevensii. RNAcentral describes it as "partial 16S ribosomal RNA". It matches the Rfam family "Bacterial small subunit ribosomal RNA", at positions 338 to 795 of the family's 1533-position model. The record is from RNAcentral. Lineage: Bacteria; Pseudomonadati; Pseudomonadota; Gammaproteobacteria; Oceanospirillales; Halomonadaceae.